This 372-nucleotide ribosomal RNA is filed under the name uncultured organism. RNAcentral's name for it is "bacterial SSU rRNA". It matches the Rfam family "Bacterial small subunit ribosomal RNA", at positions 526 to 896 of the family's 1533-position model. The record is from RNAcentral.
CAGAGGUCCCAAGCGUUGUUCGGAUUCACUGGGCGCAAAGGGUGCGUAGGUGGUUGGGUAAGUCUGAUGUGAAAUCUCCGAGCUUAACUCGGAAAUGGCAUUGGAUACUAUUCGGCUAGAGGGUUUGAGGGGGGACUGGAAUACUUGGUGUAGCAGUGAAAUGCGUAGAUAUCAAGUGGAACACCAGUGGCGAAGGCGAGUCCCUGGAAAACUCCUGACACUGAGGCACGAAAGCUAGGGGAGCAAACAGGAUUAGAUACCCUGGUAGUCCUAGCUGUAAACGGUGCAUAUUUGCUGUAAAAGGAAUCGACCCCUUUUGUGGCGAAGCAAACGCGUUAAAUAUGCCGCCUGGGAAGUACGGUCGCAAGAUUA